ACAAAAAGCAGGUUUGCAGUUUUAGUAUCUCCUUUAAAUAGGAUAUUAAUGUAUUUUAGUAUAGUUAUGAUAAAAAAAUCAUUCAGUCUUCUAAACUAGAGUCAGACCUUUCUUCCCACCAGCUUCACCUGCAUUUAUAAUAGCAGAUCUCUCACACAGGAUUGGUACAGAAGGAUCCCAGUUUCCCACUUCCAUCUUCCAGUCCUACAGAGUGGCUGAAGAGGGGACAGCAAUUGCUUUAUGUUUGCACAGGCUGUCACAGUAUGGAUGGCUUUGCACCAAAGCCAAAAUCUGCAAUGGAAACUGCUGCACUACCUGGCUUGGAAACCUCAAGGGUGACCUCCUGUUUAAACUAAAUGUGUAAUAGGAGAGCAGAGUUUGCAGACCUUGUUUCCAAGCUGUGCUACGAGCAGGCAAGAAGGGCUGCGUGGCAAAUGAGCCUUCCAGCACCCAGGCCCACCUGUCUGCCAGCCACUGAACCUCUGAGAGGACACAGCUCGCCUCUGCCACUUCAAAGGCCCAGGAUAAUAAAGUUACUGCCAUCAAAGUCUGCUUCUACAGGUAAUUUUCUUAAUGAAUUACUAUUUUCUUUGAACAUAAUUUAAAAAAGAGAACACAGUAAAUAAAAAAACCAUCUGAAACCUCCAAGAAAAGGAACAGAAUGUAGAAUGCAACAUGAAAUAUUUACAUGAAGGAGCCACGAAAGUAUCAUCAGCUGACAUUUACUCAGGCUUAGGACUGUACAAUAUUACUAUUCAAGGAAAGAAGACAAUUGGUGGGUAAAUCUUGCUUAUGUGAACAGUCCUGCUUGGAUCAGUCAGUGCUCUUUCCAGUAAGAUGAAUGCUAUUGUCAGAAGUAUAUUAACACUCAUAAAGGACCAGGAUGUGAAAUUUUGCUGUAUUGAAUUGUUCCAGUGAAACACAACAAGCCUUUCCAUGGUGCUCUCAGAGGUCAUUUACCCUUCACAUAACUUUUUUACCUUUCCUCUCUGUUCCUUACACUUUUCAGUCACUAAUCAGUGUUUUGCCUAGUCACCAUCAGUCAUCAUUUGCCUACUCCAUAUUAUCUAUGCACUGCUAACCUCACUUUUCAGUCUUGUAUGUUACUAAGUGGUCAAAAAGAAGUCAGAAAGCCUUAUAAAUGCAUGGAAUUCCAAGGAUCCCAUUUUAAAUGGAAAAGAAAUAAUACAUACUAUUAUGAAGUUAUUUUGGCACAGAGAUCCAGGACAUCCAAUUGCAAUUCCAGGAGCAGACCAAAUACUUCAGAAGCAGCACAGCAAAAUGAAGAACAGCAAGAAGUUGUUCAGAAAUGGAAAUUCAGACAGUUGGAAGGCAGAGGUCAACUCCAGAACACUCCACUACAAAUUACUCUAAAAGAUCCUCUUUCUCUGAUCCUAACCAAGAUGCACAGUGAGAAAAGUCUUUGAAAGAAACCUUAGAGUAGAUAAUGCUGGUCCUUCUCCAGCAGAUGUCAACAGAAACACUGUGUGAAGAUCUGCUCAUCCCUGAGAUGCCUCUGUGCUGGCCUGACCCCAAAAUCCAUAGGCAUGAGAGAAGGACAGGAAGCUCUGCACUCUGCUUAGGAAAAUCCAUAGGCAUGAGAGAAGGAUAGGAAACUCU
Molecule: long non-coding RNA, 1620 nt
Filed under: Taeniopygia guttata (zebra finch)
Lineage: Eukaryota; Metazoa; Chordata; Aves; Passeriformes; Estrildidae
Description: lncRNA (ENSTGUG00000020377.1)
Source: RNAcentral